CCAGUCUUUGGAAGGUGUAGUAUUGGGGAGGUUAUGAGAGGCUGAGGGAGGGAGGAAUGAGCAGAGUUGAAUUACAAACACAUUUUCGGGUGCCUUUGCUCCACUCCAUACCAGCGUGGGUUAGGUAAAGGUAGGCGACGGAUUUUAUCCACCAAAUCUCAGCGGGAAAACGGAGUAUUUUCUCAAUGCGAGACUUAUUGAGGAGACUGACUGGAGCACGAGUUGUAGCCUACUCGCGCCUGUCUCACCUGCGUGACUUUUCAGUGUGUCUUUUGGAAACUGCGACCGUAAGCUUUGAUUUGAAAAAAUAGAGCAGAGCCGCAACACGAUAUAUCGGGACAUUGAUUUGAAUUGAAUGGAUCAUUGUGCGCUGAAUUCGUCUAUAUGGGAUGUACUGUGAGUUUGAUCUGUUGUGAGGACGAGUUGUUGGUGCCCCUCGGUCGCUAUGAUGAGAAAGAGAAAGAAGAAUCCACAAUCUUAUCAAAGCCUGAGGAGUUGGAGAGUGUCCACACACACAAUUUCAAGCUUAAGCCCUUCAAGAAAGUCAAGAGCUGUGAUGUAUGUCAGCAGGCCAUCACCAAGGAUGGGCUCAUCUGUAAAGUGUGCAAGCUGGGCAUCCAUAAGAAGUGUGAGGUGAAGGUCCUCGCAGAUGCAUGUGUGGCACCUACCGGAUCACCUACCAAGCCGAGGUCAGUUGCUUCGCUUAAUUCACGGCCGGCCACUCCUCAGCUGCCGUUGAAGCAUGUAGAAACUCCGGGAACCCCAAGGUCCUGUAAGAGUGAGCAGACUAGACGAAGGUCAUCACGCAGUGUCAGUCUGCUGCAGGCCAUGGAGGAGAGCUAUGAGGUGGACCUGGUGUACAUCACCGAGAGGAUCAUCUCUGUCUCCUUCCCCAGCGGAGCGGAGGAGCGCAGCUACACCUCCAACAUCAAGGAGGUGGCCUCCAUGCUGGCCUCCAAACACGGGGAACACUAUCUGCUCCUCAACCUAAGUGAGCGGAGGAAUGACAUCACCAAGCUUAACCACAAGUUUGGCUGGCCAGACCAUUAUGCUCCGGCCCUGGAUAAGAUCUGCAGCAUGUGCAAGGCCAUGGACACCUGGCUCAACGCUGACCAACACAAUGUAGUGGUGCUUCACAACAAGGGGAACCGUGGGAGGACUGGAGUGGUGGUGGCUGCCUACAUGCAUUACAGCAACAUAUCAGCCAGUGCUGACCAGGCACUGGACAGGUUCGCCAUGAGGCGCUUCUACGAAGACAAAGCACUUCCUGUGGGUCAACCGUCCCAGAGAAGGUAUGUACGUUACUUCAGUGGUCUGCUCUCUGGCCACAUCAAGAUUAACAACAAGCCUCUGUUCCUGCACCACGUCAUCAUGCACGGCAUCCCCAACUUCGAGUCCAAAGGAGGUGAGUCUGCAGCAGGAUACAAAAGUCCUUGUCUUUAUGUCCGGUUAUAUGCUUAUUCUCUCCUCCUCCUCCUCCUCCUCCUCCUACAGUUGAAGUGUUACCACAAGCGUUUCCGGAGCCCCAUUAGGGAUGUGGUAUUCAGAGUGCAGUUCCACACCUGUGCCAUCCACGACCUGGGAGUAGUCUUCGGGAAGAAUGAACUGGAUCAGACUUUUAAAGAUGAGAGAUUUCCAGAAUAUGGGAAAGUGGAAUUUGUCUUCUCCUUCGGUCCUGAGAAAAUCAAAGGAAUGGGCCACCUUGAGAAUGGCCCACAAGUGUCGGUGGACUACAAUACCCAAGACCCCCUCAUCCGCUGGGACUCCUACGAGAACUUCAACAGGGACGUUGUUCACACCCAAGGCCCCCUCGACGGCAGCCUGUAUGCCCGAAUCCACAAGAAAGAGUCCCUCGAUGGAGUGGUCACAAUCAACGUGGGCCACGCCUCCCUGCCCGCGGUUGACCACGCCCUGUCGGUCAGCAGCGACUCUGGGAACUCGACAGCAUCCGUCAAAACCGAUCGCACCGAUGACCACAGUCUGUUGCUGCAUGGAGCGGUGAAUACCAACCAGAACCACAACACGCCCAGUCAUCCCCCUCUCAGUCCCCAGGAGAAGAGAGAGUUGGACCAGCUUCUGAGUGGCCUUGAGGCCCCCAUGCUCCACCGCCAGGCUUACCUGGCUACCUCCACCAGCCCCGGGGGGGGAGUUCGCCACCUUGUCCCAGCCCAGGUGCACGUCAGCGGGCAUACCCGGCUCAUUGCAGCCCCCUCCGCCGAAGAGCGCGAGACGGACAUCUUGGACGACGAGCUGCACAUCAGUCAGGAGGGUAACAGCGUGGACAGUCUGGGAACACUGUCGUCAUUGGAGGGCCAGGCCACGCCCGCAGAGCUGUACUACCAAUCACAGAUACCCAUCAACAGGCAGAACGACGGGCCAUACCUAGAGAAGCUACGGGAGAUGCCGGUGCACCGGGUACGGACUUCUACGUCGGCACAGGAGCGGAUCAUGGACUCCAGUUCGCCCCAGGAAGAGGAGUACUCUCCUAACAGUUACCAGAACGGGAGUAUGCAGCGUUCCCAGUCCUUCGGGACCCCCGAGCCUGGAGGCCCCAAGCUGCCCAGGGCCCCUGAGAGGAGCACCAGUAGCAGGGAGGCAGUCCAGAGGGGGCUGAACGCAUGGCACCAGUACAGUCUGCCAGACGACCCGUUCGGUCCUCCCUUACAGAGCACCCACAGUCUGCCCCACUUCCCCCCCACCGCCUCUCAGCACGACAUAGAGCAGUCGAUCGAAGCCCUCGACAUGCUGAUGCUGGAUCUGGACCCACACACAGGACAGGUGCCCAAGUCCUACAGCGCCCCCUCUGGUGAGAACAGUGUAGGAGGGCCAGCCCAGAUCCCCUUCUCCCAAUCUCUGGCCAGGCCGUCCUACCAGGCGGACUCAGCCAUCCACGGCUAUAACAUUAACUACAAUGCCUUCGGACAGCCUCUGAGGUCGAUGGCUGGCCGGUGUAAUAAUAAUAUAAAUGUGUGUGUGUUUUCACUACAGACGGCCAUGGUUAUGGUGGACACCCCUUUAAUGAUCCUAUAUCUUCCAGUAGUCCCAUCCACAGGCCAGACGGGUGAGUACUGUACUGUUCCUGGGGCACAGAGUUUGGAGAACCGAGGGGAAACUCUUGAAUUAAGAGGAAUAAAGAUAGUCCUAGGUUACAGCUCAGUGUUUCUCUCUCUCUGCAGCAUGAGGAUGACUUCCUCCAUUCGGCUCCAGGCUGACUCCGGCUUCCACUCCCACCCCUUGGAGAGCGCCCAGCACACCCCCGUUCCGUCCUACGGCCCCCACUCCCCUGAGGGAUCCCAGGUCAGCGUCGUGGGCCCCCUCCACACCGUCCCCGGAAGCCCCAACACACUCCACCGCACGGUGGCCACCAACACCCCACCAAGCCCCGCCCUCCAGUGCCGCCUGGCCAACCAGGCCAGCCCGGGUCUGGCUCGUCACCCCACACCGCCCAAUGGUAACAGGGUGCAAGUCCCCGGCAGCCCUGUGAUCCCCGCAAGAGGCUCCAGAACCGCCGCCGUCCCUGCUAGCCCUUUGAUGGGGCGCCACCCGAUGGCCAGUAGCCACACUACGCCCGAUGACAGACAGGGGGCACCACUCACGCCCUCCUUCCCAGUGUCACCCCAGCCGAUGCUUCCAGAGAAGAGGCGGAUGCCCAGUGGAGAGAGGUCCAAUGGGGGGCUGUCAUAUGGGACUCUGGAUGGGAAGACCACCACACCCACCUUUCCCAGUGGAGGCAGCACACCCAGUGUGUCCACCUCUCACACCCUACCCGACCUCUCCAAAUUCUCCAUCUACGACCAGAGUCCAGACAUCAGGCUGAAUGUGAAGUUUGUCCAGGACACGUCUAAGUUGUGGUACAAGCCAGACAUCUCCAGAGAGCAGGCCAUCAGUCUGCUGAGAGACAGGGAGCCAGGGGCCUUCAUUAUCAGGGACAGUCACUCCUUCAGAGGGGCCUACGGCCUGGCCAUGAAGGUGGCCUGCCCACCUCCCACCGCCCAGGCCAAUAAGAAAGUUGGUGACAUCACGAGCGAGCUGGUGAGGCACUUCCUGAUUGAGACGAGCCCCAAAGGCGUGCGUCUGAAGGGCUGUCCCAACGAGCCCUACUUUGGAUGUCUGUCUGCCCUGGUGUACCAACACUCGAUGACUCCUCUGGCCCUGCCCUGCAAGCUGAUGAUCCCCAGCAAAGAUCCCAAUGAGGAGGCCCUGGAGCUGGACACUCCCACUGACACAGUGGCCGAGCUGGUGAAACAAGGAGCAGCAUGCAAUGUUCUUUACAUCAGCUCUGUGGACAUGGAGUCUCUGACCGGUCCUCAGGCCGUCGCCAAGGCAAUCAGCGAAACGGUGGCCGUCAACCCGUUGCCCGCGGCAACAACCGUCCACUUCAAAGUGUCGUCGCAGGGCAUCACCCUCACGGAUAGCCAGAGGAAGGUCUUCUUCCGAAGGCACUACCCAAUCAACACUGUCACCUACUGUGACAUUGACCCCCAGGACAGGAAGUGGAGCAAGGAAGGAGGUGGAACGGCGAAACUGUUUGGUUUCGUGGCACGUAAACAAGGGAGCACAACGGACAACGUCAGCCACCUGUUUGCCGAGUUGGACCCCGACCAGCCUGCUUCAGCCAUCGUCAACUUCGUCUCCAAAGUCAUGAAGCGAUGAAACCAACGAACCCCCGACAGCCAUUCUUUUUUAAUUAAAUUUUUUCUUCAUUUUUGAUUGUGUUUCAUUAUUUUCUUCUGUUCUUUUUGUUGAGAUAUGUUCUCUUUGUUUUCUUCUGCGAGAUUUUAUGUUUGAAGGACUUGGAGGUAAUCCAAGAUGGCGUCAGAGGAAGUUGUGGCUGGAGUGGUGACAGUGACAACGUGGCUCGAGCUGGUGGAGGAAGAUGCUUUCUUCCACAGGGUAACUGUGGAAGUCCAAGUGGAGAAGCUGUGUGCUAAACUAAGUAUCAGUGGGAGGAAAGGACACUGACAUGUAUCAGGUUUUCGGAUUGAUUUACCAAAGGUAGCACUCAGAACAAGUAUGUCAUUAUUAGAUGGUCAGUUUAAGGUGUUGUAGAUUUUCUCUUUUUUUUCUUUUUUUUUUACAAUGGGACUGUUGAAAUGAAACAGACAAAAACAAAAAGAAUGCUUUCUUCUUGAACUUUAUUCUGUCUUCAGAAAAAUAGUUUGCCUCAGUGGCUUCUUACUAAAGAAUAUUUAAGAAGACAUUUUGCAUGUUAGCUCGAUCUUUAAGCUUGGUCCACUAAAGUCAUUUGUGAACCCUCGAGUGGACAUUUCCCAGGCCUGUUGUAUGUUGUAAAGGGCUCAACAGCGAGAAAAAUAAACAGUUCUCAACUUCACA
Molecule: long non-coding RNA, 5334 nt
Organism: Salmo trutta (river trout)
Lineage: Eukaryota; Metazoa; Chordata; Actinopteri; Salmoniformes; Salmonidae
Source: Ensembl